CUCGAGCCAGCCUCUUCAGCAUGGAGAAGUCAGGCAGCUCAGGGGCGUCCGGCCGAUGGGGAAAAGCCAUGGCAGCGGUCACCUGCGCCGCGGGGUGGAAGGACGCCCUUCGUUCUGAGAAGGCCGGCCGCAGCCCAGGGAAGCGCAAGGGGGGCUAUCCUUCAGGCCUGGGCACCGACUUCCAGAGACCCCAGAUGGGCCCUCGCUCCUCAGCAGCACUCCAGGAAUGAAUGGCCACCUCCAGGCAAGAGAGCUACUACCUCGGAGCAGCCUUGUCUCAGACCUGCAGCCACCGUGUCUCGACCCUCCCUCCCUGAUCCACUCUGCCCGUCAGCAGGAUUCCGGUCUACACCCCGCAGAGACUCCGCAGCGUACGAGGAGAACCCCGCCUUCUACCAGAAAAAGAAGCGACUUCCUAGAUCUCCCGGAAGUCCCUUUCGCUCCCAGCGCUUCGCGUACCAGGAAGGGGACGGCGUCCUGAAAGGGACAUUUGAAAAACGGAGGCAACGCGUCUAUUAAUUAGGUGGCGGCGCCUGGGGUCGCAGCACUCCAGAGGCUGAGGUGGGAGAAUCGCUCGAGUCAGGGAGGCGGAGGUUGCAGUGAACUGCGAUCGCGCUACUGCACCCCAGCCUGGGCAACAAAGCUAGACCUUGCCUCAAAAAAAAAAAAAAAAAAAAAAAAAAAGACAUAAUGAAUGCAUCAGGCUAGCUAACAAUACCUCAACUCUGAUCAAUCAUACCAUCAUAUCAUUUCCUGGUGAGAUGCAUAGGAAAUACAGAGCAUCACCUAUUGCCAAAAAUUGAACCUAAUCAAGCCUCAAGAUCUAACUACCAGUUUAUAGGCUAUAUAGAGAUUAGCAGGAAUAUGUUAAGACACCAAAGAGUCUCGCCCUUUUGCCUAGUGGAGGAGCUCGGCUCACUGCAAGCUCCGCGCCACAACCCCCCUGCCGCCCCAGGUUCAAGAGAUUCUCCUGCCUCAGUCUCCCGAGUAGACUGGGAUUACAGGCGAGUGCCACCAUGCCCGGCUAAUUUUUGUAUUUUUGGUAGAGACGGGGUUUCAUUAUGUUGGCCAGGCUGAUCUCGAACUCCUGACCUCAAGUGAUCCGCCUGCCUUGGCCUCCCAAAGUGCUGGGAUUACAGGCGUGAGCCACAACGUUGGGCCAGGUAUUGUAUUUCUAUGUUAUUAUUAUUUUUUGUAUUUCUAUGUCAUACAGGCUUGUAUUUCUGUUAAAAACAAGUCCUUAUCUCUUUGAGAUACAUACUGAAGUUUUUACAGGUGAAAUAAUUUGGCCAGGAGUAAUGGUUCAUGUCUCUAAUUCCCACCACUUUGGGAGGUCCAGGUCGGGGUCGGGGGGUUGCUUGAGGCCAGGAGUUUGAGAUAAGAUUGGUCAACUACAACACAUAAAAAAUAGCCAGGCAUG
This 1420-nucleotide long non-coding RNA is filed under the name Homo sapiens (human). RNAcentral describes it as "HSALNT0383065". The record is from RNAcentral. Lineage: Eukaryota; Metazoa; Chordata; Mammalia; Primates; Hominidae.